UCUGCCCCAUGGGGAAGGAUGAGAAGCUUCGACUAAGGUUCGACUCGAGCGAAGCGAGAGAACGUUGCCGCAGGCAACGGCCCGAAGGGCGAGGCGCUUUAGCGCCGAGUAAUCCUUCCCCCACCACCA
RNAcentral lists this small RNA (129 nucleotides) under Klebsiella pneumoniae. Its description in RNAcentral is "RtT sRNA". It matches the Rfam family "RtT RNA". From Rfam's summary of the family: This family represents a bacterial cis-regulatory element known as RtT RNA. The exact function of RtT is unknown although it is thought that it may be involved in changing the cellular response in relation to amino acid starvation. RNAcentral also lists the same sequence under 1 other name. Lineage: Bacteria; Pseudomonadati; Pseudomonadota; Gammaproteobacteria; Enterobacterales; Enterobacteriaceae. The record is from RNAcentral.